RNAcentral lists this ribosomal RNA (515 nucleotides) under uncultured bacterium. Its description in RNAcentral is "bacterial SSU rRNA". It matches the Rfam family "Bacterial small subunit ribosomal RNA", at positions 994 to 1509 of the family's 1533-position model. The record is from RNAcentral.
AACUUAGCAGAGAUGCUUUGGUGCCUUCGGGAACUCUGAGACAGGUGCUGCAUGGCUGUCGUCAGCUCGUGUUGUGAAAUGUUGGGUUAAGUCCCGCAACGAGCGCAACCCUUAUCCUUUGUUGCCAGCGGCUCGGCCGGGAACUCAAAGGAGACUGCCGGUGAUAAACCGGAGGAAGGUGGGGAUGACGUCAAGUCAUCAUGGCCCUUACGGCCAGGGCUACACACGUGCUACAAUGGCGCAUACAAAGAGAAGCGACCUCGCGAGAGCAAGCGGACCUCAUAAAGUGCGUCGUAGUCCGGAUUGGAGUCUGCAACUCGACUCCAUGAAGUCGGAAUCGCUAGUAAUCGUAGAUCAGAAUGCUACGGUGAAUACGUUCCCGGGCCUUGUACACACCGCCCGUCACACCAUGGGAGUGGGUUGCAAAAGAAGUAGGUAGCUUAACCUUCGGGAGGGCGCUUACCACUUUGUGAUUCAUGACUGGGGUGAAGUCGUAACAAGGUAAGCGUAGCGAG